Molecule: ribosomal RNA, 456 nt
Filed under: uncultured bacterium
Lineage: Bacteria
Description: bacterial SSU rRNA
Rfam family: Bacterial small subunit ribosomal RNA
Source: RNAcentral
AUUGAACGCUGGCGGCAGGCCUAAUACAUGCAAGUCGAACGGUAACAUAGAAAGCUUGCUUUUCUUGAUGACGAGUGGCGGACGGGUGAGUAAGAUUUGGGAAACUACCUGAUAGAGGGGGACAACAGUUGGAAACGACUGCUAAUACCGCAUACAGCCUCAGGGUGAAAGAAGCGAUUCGCUAUCAGAUGUGCCCAAACGGGAUUAGCUAGUAGGUGAGGUAAAGGCUCACCUAGGCGACGAUCUCUAGCUGGUCUGAGAGGAUGAUCAGCCACAUUGGGACUGAGACACGGCCCAGACUCCUACGGGAGGCAGCAGUAGGGAAUAUUGCACAAUGGAGGAAACUCUGAUGCAGCCAUGCCGCGUGUGUGAAGAAGGCCUUCGGGUUGUAAAGCACUUUCGGAGGGGAGGAAGAAAAUGACGUUACCCUCAGAAGAAGCACCGGCUAACUCCGUG